UACGAAGGGGGCUAGCGUUGCUCGGAAUCACUGGGCGUAAAGGGUGCGUAGGCGGGUCUUUAAGUCGGGGGUGAAAGCCCGGGGCUCAACCUCGGAAUUGCCUUCGAUACUGGGUAUCUUGAGUUCGGGAGAGGUGAGUGGAAUGCCGAGUGUAGAGGUGAAAUUCGUAGAUAUUCGGCGGAACACCAGUGGCGAAGGCGACUCACUGGCCCGAUACUGACGCUGAUGCGCGAAAGCGUGGGGAGCAAACAGG
Molecule: ribosomal RNA, 253 nt
Filed under: uncultured bacterium
Lineage: Bacteria
Description: partial 16S ribosomal RNA
Rfam family: Bacterial small subunit ribosomal RNA
Source: RNAcentral